CAGCGAAUGGCUUGAGAUUCAACUGAACUCUUAAAAGACAACAAUAGUUACAGUGACUGAAGUAGUCAAUUAUUACUGUUGGCUACUACGGUUGAACUGUGUGUGUAGUCAUUUCAGUAGCUGAGGUGUGUAGUCAUUUCAGUAGCUGAGGUGUGCAGUCAUUUCAGUAGCCGAGGUGUGCAGUCAUUUCAGUAGCCGAGGUGUGCAGUCAUUUCAGUAGCCGAGGUGUGCAGUCAUUUCAGUAGCCGAGGUGUGCAGUCAUUUCAGUAGCCGAGGUGUGCAGUCAUUUCAGUAGCCGAGGUGUCUAGCCAUUUCAGUAGUUGAGAUGUCAGUCAUUUCAGUAGCUGAGGUGUGUAGCCAUUUCAGUAGCUGAGAUGUCAGUCAUUUCAGUAGCUGAGGUGUGUAGUCAUUUCAGUAGCUGAGGUGUCAGUCAUUUCAGUAGCUGAGGUGUCAGUCAUUUCAGUAGCUGAGGUGUCUAGCCAUUUCAGUAGCUGAGGUGUCAGUCAUUUCAGUAGCUGAGAUGUCAGUCAUUUCAGUAGCUGAGGUGUCAUUCAUUUCAGUAGCUGAGGUGUCUAGCCAUUUCAGUAGUUGAGAUGUCAGUCAUUUCAGUAGCUGAGGUGUGUAGCCAUUUCAGUAGCUGAGAUGUCAGUCAUUUCAGUAGCUGAGGUGUGUAGUCAUUUCAGUAGCUGAGGUGUCAGUCAUUUCAGUAGCUGAGGUGUCAGUCAUUUCAGUAGCUGAGGUGUCUAGCCAUUUCAGUAGCUGAGGUGUGCAGUCAUUUUCAGUAGCUGAGUAUCCAGUGUGUUGGGAGUUGUCCAUGUAUAAAUACAGCACUUGAAAGUGAACAUUUGAGACGACAUGGCUCUUCCAACAGUCUCUAUGGCGCAAGUGAGAGAGAUGGAG
Oncorhynchus keta (chum salmon) is the source of this 900-nucleotide long non-coding RNA. RefSeq lists it as uncharacterized. The transcript is spliced from 5 exons. Lineage: Eukaryota; Metazoa; Chordata; Actinopteri; Salmoniformes; Salmonidae. The record is from RefSeq and is a predicted model, not a curated record.